CCCAAAAAGUGUCUCAGUUCAGAUUGUAGGCUGCAACUCGCCUACAUGAAGUCGGAAUUGCUAGUAAUCGCGGAUCAGCAUGCCGCGGUGAAUACGUUCCCGGGCCUUGUACACACCGCCCGUCACACCAUGAGAGCCGGUAACACCCGAAGUCAGUAGCCUAACCGCAAGGGGGGCGCUGCCGAAGGUGGGAUUGGUAAUUGGGGUGAAGUCGUAACAAGGUAGC
RNAcentral lists this ribosomal RNA (226 nucleotides) under uncultured bacterium. Its description in RNAcentral is "partial 16S ribosomal RNA". It matches the Rfam family "Bacterial small subunit ribosomal RNA", at positions 1275 to 1500 of the family's 1533-position model. The record is from RNAcentral.